RNAcentral lists this unclassified non-coding RNA (329 nucleotides) under soil metagenome. RNAcentral's name for it is "partial contains 5.8S ribosomal RNA, internal transcribed spacer 2, and large subunit ribosomal RNA". The stretch from base 1 to 120 matches the Rfam family "5.8S ribosomal RNA", at positions 35 to 154 of the family's 154-position model. The record is from RNAcentral.
GAUGAAGAACGCAGCGAAAUGCGAUAAGUAGUGUGAAUUGCAGAAUUCAGUGAAUCAUCGAAUCUUUGAACGCACAUUGCGCCCCUUGGUAUCCCGAGGGGCAUGCCUGUUCGAGCGUCAUUUCACCACUCAAGCCUGGCUUGGUGUUGGGCGACGUCCUCUUUGGGGACGCGCCUCGAAACGCUCGGCGGCGUGGCACCGGCUUUAGGCGUAGCAGAAUCUUUCGCUUUGGAAGUCGGGGCCCCGUCUGCCGGAAGACCUGCUCGCAAGGUUGACCUCGGAUCAGGCAGGGAUACCCGCUGAACUUAAGCAUAUCAAUAAGCGGAGGA